GUGGCUAUGGAAAGGGAGGUGGUGCUGGAGGUGGAGGUGGUUAUGGAAAGGGCGGCGGUGUAGGAGUAGGGGGUGGUUAUGGAAAGGGUGGCGGUGCUGGAGCAGGAGGUGGUUAUGGAAAGGGUGGCGGUGCUGGAGCCGGAGGUGGUUAUGGUGGAGGAGGUGAAGGUGGAGGUUAUGGGAAGGGUGGCGGUGCUGGAGUUGGAGGUGGUUACGGUGGAGGAGGUGAGGGUGGUGGAGGCUAUGGGAAGGGGGGUGGUGUAGGUGGUGGAGCCGGUGGUGGUAGUGGUGGAGGUUAUGGUGGAGGUGAAGGAGGUGGUAAGGGUGGCGGUUAUGGAGCUGGAGGUGGACAUGGUGGAGGUGCUGGAGGAGGUUAUGGAGGAGGAGGAGCUAGUGGAGGUGGAUAUGGCAGCGGUGGAGGAGCAGGUGGUGGAUACGGAGGUGGCGCUGGUGGUGGUUCAGGCUAUGGUGGUGGACAUGCACGCUGAGAACCAAUGCGUGCAUUUUAUAUCUACGCUUUGUUAGAGUGCUUCCCAACAAUAAGUAUUAUCUAAGCAUCUCAUGAUCUGUUUUCAUUUGCCGGAUAAAUUCAGAAUUUCAUGGAUUUCAGCUCUGAAGAGUUUUAACUUUUAAGUGUUUUGGUUAUUCAGCUGUUCCCUUGGCUGCUGAUCAAUGUAACCGCACUUAAUAUCCGGUGGUCAUUUUAAAUAUGUAUCCCUUGUUCAUGUUUCCAAAAAGUAACAAUAAUAAAGAUAUGUACCCCUUGUUUAAUCUACUA
Coffea arabica (coffee) is the source of this 778-nucleotide non-coding RNA. NCBI's taxonomy places the organism in Eukaryota, Viridiplantae, Streptophyta, Magnoliopsida, Gentianales, Rubiaceae. The record is from RefSeq and is a predicted model, not a curated record.